GUGAGGAAUAUUGGUCAAUGGGCGAGAGCCUGAACCAGCCAAGUCGCGUGAAGGAAGAAGGAUCUAUGGUUCGUAAACUUCUUUUGCAGGGGAAUAAAGUGCAGGACGUGUCCUGUUUUGUAUGUACCCUGAGAAUAAGGAUCGGCUAACUCCGUGCCAGCAGCCGCGGUAAUACGGAGGAUCCGAGCGUUAUCCGGAUUUAUUGGGUUUAAAGGGUGCGUAGGUGGUUUGAUAAGUCAGCGGUGAAAGUUUGCAGCUUAACUGUAAAAAUGCCGUUGAAACUGUCGGACUUGAGUGUAAAUGAGGUAGGCGGAAUGCGUGGUGUAGCGGUCAAAUGCAUAGAUAUCACGCAGAACGCCGAUUGCGAAGGCAGCUUACUAAGCUACAACUGACACUGAAGCACGAAAGCGUGGGGAUCAAACAGGAUUAGAUACCCGAGUAGUCC
RNAcentral lists this ribosomal RNA (445 nucleotides) under uncultured bacterium. Its description in RNAcentral is "partial 16S ribosomal RNA". It matches the Rfam family "Bacterial small subunit ribosomal RNA", at positions 354 to 796 of the family's 1533-position model. The record is from RNAcentral.